Molecule: ribosomal RNA, 479 nt
Filed under: uncultured anaerobic ammonium-oxidizing bacterium
Lineage: Bacteria
Description: bacterial SSU rRNA
Rfam family: Bacterial small subunit ribosomal RNA
Source: RNAcentral
UUUCGCAAUGCCCGAAAGGGUGACGAAGCGACGCCGCGUGCGGGAAGAAGGCCUUCGGGUUGUAAACCGCUGUCGGGAGUUAAGAAAUGUAAGGAUGUUAAUAGCAUCUUUGCUUGACUAAGGCUCCGGAGGAAGCCACGGCUAACUCUGUGCCAGUAGCCGCGGUAAUACAGAGGCGGCAAGCGUUGUUCGGAAUUAUUGGGCGUAAAGAGCACGUAGGCGGCUAUGUAAGUCGGUUGUGAAAGCCUUCCGCUCAACGGGAGAACAGCAUCCGAUACUGCAUGGCUUGAGUGCGGGAGGGGAGAGUGGAACUUCUGGUGGAGCGGUGAAAUGCGUAGAUAUCAGAAGGAACGUCGGCGGCGAAAGCGACUCUCUGGCCUAUUACUGACACUGAGUGUGCGAAAGUUAGGGGAGCAAACGGGAUUAGAUACCCCGGUAGUCCUAACUGUAAACGAUGGGCACUAAGUAGAGGGGUUUUA